UAGGGAAUCUUCCGCAAUGGACGAAAGUCUGACGGAGCAACGCCGCGUGAGUGAAGAAGGAUUUCGGUUCGUAAAACUCUGUUGUUAGGGAAGAAAAAAUGUAUAGUAACUAUAUACAAAAGAGACGGUACCUAACCAGAAAGCCACGGCUAACUACGUGCCAGCAGCCGCGGUAAUACGUAGGUGGCAAGCGUUGUCCGGAAUUAUUGGGCGUAAAGCGCGCGCAGGUGGUUUAGAAAGUCUGAUGUGAAAGCCCACGGCUCAACCGUGGAGGGUCAUUGGAAACUAAUAAACUUGAGUGCAGGAGAGAAAAGUGGAAUUCCAUGUGUAGCGGUGAAAUGCGUAGAUAUAUGGAGGAACACCGGUGGCGAAAGCGGCUCUCUGGUCUGUAACUGACGCUGAGGCUCGAAAGCGUGGGGAGCGAACAGG
RNAcentral lists this ribosomal RNA (429 nucleotides) under Verrucomicrobiota bacterium. Its description in RNAcentral is "Verrucomicrobia bacterium partial 16S ribosomal RNA". It matches the Rfam family "Bacterial small subunit ribosomal RNA", at positions 355 to 776 of the family's 1533-position model. Lineage: Bacteria; Pseudomonadati; Verrucomicrobiota. The record is from RNAcentral.